This 443-nucleotide ribosomal RNA is filed under the name uncultured bacterium. Its description in RNAcentral is "partial 16S ribosomal RNA". It matches the Rfam family "Bacterial small subunit ribosomal RNA", at positions 338 to 795 of the family's 1533-position model. The record is from RNAcentral.
CCUACGGGUGGCAGCAGUGGGGAAUAUUGGGCAAUGGGCGCAAGCCUGACCCAGCAACGCCGCGUGAAGGAAGGAGGCUUUCGGGUUUUUAACUUCUUUUCUCAGGGACGAAGAAAGUGACGGUACCUGCGGAAUAAGCCACGGCUAACUACGUGCCAGCAGCCGCGGUAAUACGUAGGUGGCAAGCGUGAUCCGGAUGUAUUGGGUGUAAAGGGCGUGUAGGCGGGAGCGGAAGUCAGCUGUGAAAACUCAGGGCUCAACCCUGGGCCUGCAUUUGAAACUGUGUUUCUUGAGUUCUGGAGAGGCAAUCGGAAUUCCGGGGGUAGCGGUGAAAUGCGUAGAUAUACGGAGGAAAACCAGUGGCGAAGGCGGAUUGCUGGCCAGUAACUGAGGCGGAGGAGCGAAAGCGUGGGGAGCAAACAGGAUUAGAUACCCCGGUAGUC